This 478-nucleotide ribosomal RNA is filed under the name uncultured bacterium. RNAcentral's name for it is "partial 16S ribosomal RNA". It matches the Rfam family "Bacterial small subunit ribosomal RNA", at positions 28 to 523 of the family's 1533-position model. The record is from RNAcentral.
GACGAACGCUGGCGGCGUGCUUAACACAUGCAAGUCGAACGGUAAGGCCCUUCGGGGUACACGAGUGGCGAACGGGUGAGUAACACGUGGGUGAUCUGCCCUGCACUUCGGGAUAAGCCUGGGAAACUGGGUCUAAUACCGGAUAGGACCACUGCCUGCAUGGGUGGUGGUGGAAAGCUUUUGCGGUGUGGGAUGGGCCCGCGGCCUAUCAGCUUGUUGGUGGGGUGAUGGCCUACCAAGGCGACGACGGGUAGCCGGCCUGAGAGGGUGACCGGCCACACUGGGACAGAGAUACGGCCGAGACUCCGACGGGAGGCAGCAGUGGGGAAUGUUGCACAAUGGGCGCAAGCCUGAUGCAGCGACGCCGCGUGAGGGAUGACGGCCUUCGGGUUGUAAACCUCUUUCAGUAGGGACGGAGCGCAAGUGACGGUACCUACAGAAGAAGGACCGGCCAACUACGUGCCAGCCGCCGCAGUAA